AGUGGUAUGGAAGAGGAGAGCACAUGUAAAGUUCGUUUACGUCGGUUCUUUAUCUUGGAAAACAAAAGGAUCGGUAAGUUCAUCAUUACAGAUAAUUAUGGAAACUGUUAGUGAUUCAUGUUUUCGAAUUUUGAUGAAAGAAAAACGUUUGGGAAAACUGGAUGAGCUUGGUGUGGUCCAUGAAGCGGAUCUUGCACUAGUUACGGAAGGAUGACAUUCUAAAGGCCAUAGAUGUGCACACAUGUAGUACACAUUUUAUAAAAGCAACAUGUGAACAAAAAACACUCCAGAAACUUUAUUCCCAUUUCAAGCCUAGGAGAUUUAUCCAGUCCAGAGCGAAACUCAAGUCAAGAAGUGUACCUUGAUCUUCGAUCACAGAAGACAUUUUUUGCCAGCACUUCCAGAGCAAAGGAGUCACUUGGACACAGAAGCAUUUCAGUCUAUGACAGUGGAAACAAUCCUGGUGAUGUCUACUGGAACAAGGUAGCUAAUCAAGUUAAAAAGUGUUUUCAGAAAGGGGAAUGACAACUAC
Molecule: long non-coding RNA, 532 nt
Organism: Anneissia japonica
Lineage: Eukaryota; Metazoa; Echinodermata; Crinoidea; Comatulida; Comatulidae
Exons: 4
Source: RefSeq, a predicted model, not a curated record